RNAcentral lists this ribosomal RNA (253 nucleotides) under uncultured bacterium. RNAcentral describes it as "partial 16S ribosomal RNA". It matches the Rfam family "Bacterial small subunit ribosomal RNA", at positions 524 to 776 of the family's 1533-position model. The record is from RNAcentral.
GACGUAGGGCGCAAGCGUUGUCCGGAUUUAUUGGGCGUAAAGAGCUCGUAGGCGGCUUGUUGCGUCGUCCGUGAAAACCCGCAGCUCAACUGCGGGCUUGCGGACGAUACGGGCAGGCUGGAGUUCGGUAGGGGAGACUGGAAUUCCUGGUGUAGCGGUGAAAUGCGCAGAUAUCAGGAGGAACACCGGUGGCGAAGGCGGGUCUCUGGGCCGAUGCUGACGCUGAGACGCGAAAGCGUAGGGAGCGAACAGG